This 556-nucleotide ribosomal RNA is filed under the name soil bacterium LMM-P-18. Its description in RNAcentral is "bacterial SSU rRNA". It matches the Rfam family "Bacterial small subunit ribosomal RNA", at positions 365 to 913 of the family's 1533-position model. The record is from RNAcentral.
UUCCCAAUGGACGAAGUCUGAUGGAGCACGCCGCGUGAGUGAUGAAGGUUUUCGGAUCGUAAAACUCUGUUGUAAGGGAAGAACAAGUACGUUAGGAAAUGAACGUACCUUGACGGUACCUUAUUAGAAAGCCACGGCUAACUACGUGCCAGCAGCCGCGGUAAUACGUAGGUGGCAAGCGUUGUCCGGAUUUAUUGGGCGUAAAGCGCGCGCAGGUGGUUUCUUAAGUCUGAUGUGAAAUCUCGCGGCUCAACCGCGAGCGGUCAUUGGAAACUGGGGAACUUGAGUGCAGAAAAGGAUAGUGGAAUUCCAAGUGUAGCGGUGAAAUGCGUAAAGAUUUGGAGGAACACCAGUGGCGAAGGCGACUGUCUGGUCUGUAACUGACACUGAGGCGCGAAAGCGUGGGGAGCAAACAGGAUUAGAUACCCUGGUAGUCCACGCCGUAAACGAUGAGUGCUAAGUGUUAGGGGGUUUCCGCCCCUUAGUGCUGCAGCUAACGCAUUAAGCACUCCGCCUGGGGAGUACGACCGCAAGGUUGAAACUCAAAGGGAAUUGA